ACGGCGUAGGAAUUCAUAGGAACGUACCCUCAGGACGGGGAUAGCUACGGGAAACUGUAGGUAAUACCCGAUGAUCUCCGCGGAGCAAAGGUGUGAUUCCGCCUGAGGAGCGGCUUAUGUGAUAUUAGCUAGUUGGUGGGGUAAUGGCCUACCAAGGCGAAGAUGUCUAGGGGGUGUGAGAGCAUGGCCCCCACGACCGGAACUGAGAUACUGUCCGGACACCUACGGGUGGCUGCAGUCGAGAAUCUUCCGCAAUGGACGAAAGUCUGACGGAGCGACGCCGCGUGCGGGAUGAAGGCCCUUGGGUUGUAAACCGCUUUCGGAGGGGAUGAAAUCCUCGAGGGUUCUCCCUCGAGGUUGACAGAGCCUCAAAAGAAGCACGGGCUAAGUACGUGCCAGCAGCCGCGGUAACACGUACUGUGCGAACGUUAUUCGGAAUCACUGGGCUUAAAGGGUGCGUAGGCGGCGAUUCAAGUCAGAUGUGAAAUGCCUGAGCUCAACUGAGGCAUUGCGUUUGAAACUGAAUUGCUAGAGUAUUUCAGGGGUGUGCGGAACUGCCAGUGGAGCGGUGAAAUGUGUUGA
RNAcentral lists this ribosomal RNA (582 nucleotides) under uncultured bacterium. RNAcentral's name for it is "bacterial SSU rRNA". It matches the Rfam family "Bacterial small subunit ribosomal RNA", at positions 102 to 694 of the family's 1533-position model. The record is from RNAcentral.